GCUUGCGUGCAUGAACAAAAAUCUACUUACCUAGCUAUCUACCUGUCUAUCUAUGUAUUUACACAGAGAUGAAGAAGAUGAAAAAGUAUUUGAGAAGAGUUGCUUUAGUCCUGGCUAAGAAGUGAUGAUCUCUUUAUAGCUUUGUCUUUUCCCAUGUUCUGUAAGAAUUCAUUGCAGAUUAAAGUAGGCAUUAUGAUUUCAAUGGAACAAAAGAGUUAUCUUCAAAACAUGUCACAACUGCCUGGGAAAGCUCAUAAUAAGAAGCUACUAAUGAGAACCUGCUAAUAAGCAGCUCAAAAAUACCUCAAAAUAACUCAACCAUGAGCUUCUCCAUCCCCCAGUCCAACCUGCACACAUCAAAGAGAAAAAAUAUGGAAGAAAAUUGCAUAUUGAUCAUUACCUGAAUUUUUGUUGUGGGGAUCUUUUGUUGGGCACAGUUUGAGAAGCUUAAUACAUAUGAAAAAAGGAAAAUACUUAAAUAGAACAAAAUGUGAGUCCUAUUAUUAAUAGACUGUUUCUAUCUUUACCUCACUGGCUGUGAAAGCUGGGACAAUGCUUUUCUUUUCUUUUCUUUUCUUUUCUUUAUUUUGUUCUUUCUUUUUCUUUCUUGACAAUGCUUUUUUUUCUUUCUUUCUUUUUUUCUUUUCUUUUCUUUCGUGAACAUAAACAUGAAUUUGAUUAGACCUUGGUAGACUUACUUGUAGA
Molecule: long non-coding RNA, 705 nt
Filed under: Pan paniscus (pygmy chimpanzee)
Lineage: Eukaryota; Metazoa; Chordata; Mammalia; Primates; Hominidae
Description: lncRNA (ENSPPAG00000044513.1)
Source: RNAcentral